This 497-nucleotide ribosomal RNA is filed under the name uncultured bacterium. RNAcentral describes it as "partial 16S ribosomal RNA". It matches the Rfam family "Bacterial small subunit ribosomal RNA", at positions 28 to 507 of the family's 1533-position model. The record is from RNAcentral.
GAUGAACGCUGGCGGCGUGCCUAAUACAUGCAAGUCGAGCGAACGGACGAGAAGCUUGCUUCUCUGAUGUUAGCGGCGGACGGGUGAGUAACACGUGGAUAACCUACCUAUAAGACUGGUAUAACUUCGGGAAACCGUAGCUAAUACCGGAUAAUAUUUUGAACCGCAUGGUUCAAAAGUGAAAGACGGUCUUUCUGUCACUUAUAGAUGGAUCCGCGCUGCAUUAGCUAGUUGGUAAGGUAACGGCUUACCAAGGCAACGAUGCAUAGCCGACCUGAGAGGGUGAUCGGCCACACUGGAAGUGAGACACGGUCAAGACGCCUACGGGAGGCAGCAGUAGGGAAUCUUACGCAAUGGGCGAAAGCCUGACGGAGCAACGCCGCGUGAGUGAUGAAGGUCUUCGGAUCGUAAAACUCUGUUAUUAGGGAAGAACAUAUGUGUAAGUAACUGUGCACAUAUUGACGGUAACUAAUAAGAAAGCCACGGCUAACUACGUG